Molecule: ribosomal RNA, 428 nt
Filed under: uncultured prokaryote
Also listed under: 1 other name
Description: bacterial SSU rRNA
Rfam family: Bacterial small subunit ribosomal RNA
Source: RNAcentral
UGGGGAAUAUUGGACAAUGGGCGCAAGCCUGAUCCAGCCAUACCGCGUGGGUGAAGAAGGCCUUCGGGUUGUAAAGCCCUUUUGUUGGGAAAGAAAAGCACACGGUUAAUACCCGAGUGUUCUGACGGUACCCAAAGAAUAAGCACCGGCUAACUUCGUGCCAGCAGCCGCGGUAAUACGAAGGGUGCAAGCGUUACUCGGAAUUACUGGGCGUAAAGCGUGCGUAGGUGGUGAUUUAAGUCCGUUGUGAAAGCCCUGGGCUCAACCUGGGAAUUGCAGUGAUACUGGGUCACUAGAGUGUGGUAGAGGAUAGUGGAAUUUCCGGUGUAGCAGUGAAAUGCGUAGAGAUCGGAAGGAACAUCUGUGGCGAAGGCGACUAUCUGGGCCAACACUGACACUGAGGCACGAAAGCGUGGGGAGCAAACAGG